UGGGGAAUAUUGCACAAUGGGGAAAGCCCUGAUGCAGCGACGCCGCGUGAAGGAAGAAGUAUCUCGGUAUGUAAACUUCUAUCAGCAGGGAAGAAAAUGACGGUACCUGACUAAGAAGCCCCGGCUAACUACGUGCCAGCAGCCGCGGUAAUACGUAGGGGGCAAGCGUUAUCCGGAUUUACUGGGUGUAAAGGGAGCGUAGACGGAGCAGCAAGUCUGAUGUGAAAGGCGGGGGCUCAACUGUAAAAUUGCAAUUGAUACUGGCAGUCUUGAGUACAGUUGAGGUAGGCGGAAUUCGUGGUGUAGCGGUGAAAUGCUUAGAUAUCACGAAGAACUCCGAUUGCGAAGGCAGCUUACUAAACUGCCACUGACAUUGAUGCUCGAAAGUGUGGGUAUCAAACAGGAUUAGAUACCC
This 415-nucleotide ribosomal RNA is filed under the name uncultured bacterium. RNAcentral describes it as "bacterial SSU rRNA". It matches the Rfam family "Bacterial small subunit ribosomal RNA", at positions 355 to 787 of the family's 1533-position model. The record is from RNAcentral.